RNAcentral lists this ribosomal RNA (492 nucleotides) under uncultured bacterium. Its description in RNAcentral is "partial 16S ribosomal RNA". It matches the Rfam family "Bacterial small subunit ribosomal RNA", at positions 29 to 507 of the family's 1533-position model. The record is from RNAcentral.
AGUGAACGCUGGCGGUAGGCCUAACACAUGCAAGUCGAACGGCAGCACAGUAAGAGCUUGCUCUUACGGGUGGCGAGUGGCGACAGGGUGAGGAUUGCAUCGGAAUCUACUUUUUCGUGGGGGAUAACGUAGGGAAACUUACGCUAAUACAGCAUACGACCUACGGGUGAAAGCAGUGGAUCUUCGGACCUUGCGCGAUUGAAUGAGCCGAUGUCGGAUUAGCUAGUUGGCGGGGUCAAGGCCCACCAAGGCGACGAUCCGUAGCUGGUCUGAGAGGAUGAUCAGCCACACUGGAACUGAGACACGGUCCAGACUCCUACGGGAGGCAGCAGUGGGGAAUAUUGGACAAUGGGCGCAAGCCUGAUCCAGCCAUACCGCGUGGGGGAAGAAGGCCUUCGGGUUGUAAAGCCCUUUUGUUGGGAAAGAAAAGCAGCAGGUUAAUACCCCGCUGUUCUGACGGUACCCAAAGAAUAAGCACCGGCUAACUUCGUG